CGGAGGAAAAACCAGCAAGAAGGCAGCAGGAGAAGGUGGCGGUCCUGGGGCUGAAUUUGCAAUCUUUCUGACUAGGCUAGUCGAGUAACUGUUCGGGUCAUGGCAUCAAACUCAACUAAGUCUUUCCUGGCAGAUGCCGGCUAUGGCAAACAGGAACUGGAUGCCAACUCUGCCCUUGUGGAAUUGGACAAAGGCCUAAGAUAUGGCAAACUUGGUGAACAGUGUGAAGCAGGUGUUCGCUUUCCCAGGCUUUUUCAGAAGUAUCCAUUCCCUGUUCUUAUCAAUUCUGCAUUUCUAAAGUUAGCUGAUGUUUUCAGAGUUGGAAAUAAUUUCCUGAGGCUAUGUGUUCUUAAAGUUACCCAAUAAAGUGAGAAACAUUUGGAGAAGAUUCUGAAUGUGGAUGAAUUUGUGAAGAGAAUCUUUUCUGUAAUUCAUAGUAAUGAUCCUGUGGCAAGAGCCAUCACACUCCGGAUGUUGGGAAGUCUGGCAUCAAUCAUUCCUGAGAGGAAGAAUGCUCAUUAUAGUAUUCGUCAGAGUUUAGAUUCACAUGAUAAUGUAGAAGUUGAAGCCGCUGUUUUUGCUGCCGCAAACUGCUCUGCACAGUCAAAGGAUUUUGCUGUAGGAAUCUGUAACAAAAUCAGUGAAAUGAUUCAAGGUUUAGUGACACCAGUAGACUUGAAGCUAAAAUUGAUACCCAUCUUACAGCACAUGCACCAUGAUGCAAUCCUGGCUUCCAGAGCUCAUCAGCUUUUACAACAGCUGGUCACAUCCUAUCCAUCCACCAAAAUGGUGAUCGUUUCUUUGCACACUUUCACUCUGCUUGCAGCUUCAUCUUUGGUUGAUACACCUAAGCAGAUUCAGCUUCUGUUGCAGUAUUUGAAGAAUGAUCCCAGGAAAGCAGUAAAGAGACUUGCUAUUCAAGAUUUGAAAUUACUUGCUAAUAAAACACCACAUACUUGGAGUAAGGAGAACAUUCAGGCACUUUGUGGGUGUGCCCUCCAGACUCCUUAUGACAGCUUCAAACUAGGGAUGUUGUCUGUCCUUUCCACACUAUCAGAGACCAUCGCCAUCAAACAUUACUUCAGUAUAGUUCCAGGAAAUGUGAGUUCUUCUCCCAGAUCUUCUGAUUUAGUCAAAUUAGCCCAAGAGUGCUGUUACCAUAAUAACAGGGGCAUUGCAGCUCAUGGAGUUAGAGUCCUAACUAAUAUAACUGUUUCUUGUCAAGAAAAAGAUCUUUUGGCACUGGAACAGGAUGCUGUCUUUGGCCUGGAAUCCCCACUGGUACUUUGCAGUCAAGAUGAUAGUCCAGGUCCUCAGACCACUUUAAAGAUUGCUCUAAACUGUAAGGUGAAGUUGGCCAAGGGCAGGCCCCAUCUUAGUUAGUAGUGGUUGAGACCUUGUUGACUCAGUUGCACAGUGCUCAGGAUGCUGCCUGGAUUUUGAUGUGCCAUUGUUUGGCAGCCAUUGCCAUGCAGCUGCUGGUGCUGGGUGAUGGGAUGCUUGGUGACCUCAUGGAGCUAUACAAGGUGACUGGACGAUCAGCCACAGACAAGCAACAAGAACUUCUGGUGAGUUUGGCUACUGUGAUUUUGUAGCGAGUCAGAAGGCAUUAUCGGUGGAAGUAACGGCAGUGAUUAAGCAGCAGCUUGAAAGUGUCUCCAAUGGAUGGACUAUAUACUGUAUUGCCAGACAGUCUUCCAGAAUGGGUAAUCAUGACAUGGCCAAAGAGCUUUAUCAGAGUUUGCUGACUCAGUUUGCCUCAGAACACUUCUACUUCUGGCUAAAUAGUCUGAAGGAGUUCUCACAUGCAGAGCAGUGUCUCACUGGUUGCAAGAGGAAAACUAUAGUUCAGCACUUUCUUGCAUUGCUGAGUCUUUAAUAUUCUAUCACAAAAGGAUUGCUUCCUUAGCAGCUAGUACACCACUGAAUCCUUUAAGUUUUCAAUGUGAACUUGUAAAACUCAGGAUUGACCUUCUACAAGACUUCUCUCAACUUAUCUGUACUUGUAAUAGCCUAAAGACAAGCCCCCACCUGCAAUUGCCACAACAAUUGCCAUGACCCUAGGAAAUGACCUUGAGAGGUGUGGUCGAAUCUCCAGUCAGAUGAAACAGUCCGUGGAAGAAUUUCGGAGCCUUGCUUCUCCAUAUGGGGAUCUUUACCAGGCCUCUUUUGAUGCUGACUCAGCAACUUUGAGGAACGUCGAACUACAGCAGCAGAGUUGUUUACUGAUGCAAUAGAAGCCCUGAUUUUGGAUCCAGAAUCAGCAAGUUUCCAGGAAUAUGGAUCUACUGGAACAGCCCAUGCUGAUAGUGAAUAUGAAAGAAGAAUGAUGUCUGUAUAUAAUCAUGUCCUGGAGGAAGUAGAAUCACUCAAUCGGAAAUAUACCCGUUUCUUAUAUGCAUACAGCAUGCUUCUGCAAUGCCAUCAUUGCUUUGCUGAAAGUUCCCCUUUCUUUCCAGAGAUAUUUUUUCCAGAAACUACAGUCUACUAGCAUCAAGCUUGCUCUGUCACUAUCACCCCGGAACCCUGCAGAGCCCAUUGCUGUCCAGAAUAACCAGCAGCUGGCGCUAAAGGUAGAGGGAGUGGUUUAGCACAGAUCUAAACCAGGACUCUUUCGCAAAAUUCAGUCUGUCUGUCGGAAUGUUUCUUCCACCCUGCAGAGUAAAUCCGGACAAGACUACAAGAUACCCAUUGACAACAUGACCAAUGAGAUGGAGCAAAGGGUUGAACCUCAUAAUGAUUACUUCAGUACUCAAUUUCUGUUGAACUUUGCUAUCCUUGGAACACACAACAUUACAGUGGAAUCUUCAGUGAAAGAUGCCAAUGGUAUAGUAUGUAAAGCUGGUCCCAGAACUACCAUAUUUGUAAAAUCCCUGGAAGACCUUUAUUCCCAGCAAAUUCGCUUACGACAGCAGCGAGCCCAGCAGCCAUUACAGCAACAGCAGCAGCGCAAUGCCUACACAUGGUUUUAACCGUGGAUGAAUGCACUGCAAACUUUGAAGAGAUCAAUCACAUUGGCAGAAACAGUCUUUCAUAUGGAGUAAGUAUGAAAGUUACAAUGUAGUUCAUUUAUUCAUUGAUUUUUGUAAUAUUCUGGAAAAAUUUUGUUUGAAAAAUAAUUGGGCUCCUGGCCAGAAAUAUCAUUUUUUCUUGUUUUAUUAUUACUGUUUUUUCUUUUGCCAGGCUUUUUCUUUUUCUUUCAAGAGUAGUCACAUGUUGAGAUCAUUACAUUAGUAAAUUUGACUGCUCCUCUUCCAAAAUACAUCAUUUGCUGCCUGAGUUAGACCUAGAAUUCUGAGAUGUUCAUUGGGAAGUUCUGACCAGUCACUCCAAGGUUUAUCCAUGGUAGCAGAACCUGUCCUCCUAUAGAUGGACUUGAAAAGUGUUCCCUGCAACAUCCAGCCUUCUGGAUUAUUAAAGCCCACAGUCUAGUAGUAUUGAAGCAUCCUGCUGUAUUAUUUCAACCACACAUCUAUCUAUCUCUUCCUGUGCUAAAGCAAUCUUAAUUUAGUAUUUUCAUAUUUAAUUGACACAAAGAACAGCUAGAAAUUUCAUAGAAAAUUAAAGAUUAAUAAUUUGUUUUUUUCUAAUAUGUCUACGACUAUAUAAUACAGACAUUUCACAUUGGUUCUAAAAAUGAAAAAAAAUCACUCCUUUAAUAUCUUAAUGUUUUAAGUUAGAAGGGGUGGAUCUUUUCCUUUGGUUGGUGAUUGCUUUUGUUUCUGCUUGAUGAGUUAUGCUAGACUUGAUUGUUUAGAGAGAGCAGUCUCUUUAUAACAUAGGCUCAGUUAGUUGGGAUGCUCAGGGAACAGAGUUUUCUGGUUAGCCAGAAACCGCCCCCUUUCUUUUCUUUUUUUAAUAUUGGUUAAAAACCAUGUUAAAAUAGACUUUCUUAACACAGUGUACUAGAUGUAACUUAACUGCUUCUUGAUUGGGGAUCAUUUAGGGCUCCGGGAUCAUGAUGUCUAAACAUCAGGGAUCAUAUGGUUGCAGAUAUUGAUGCUGUAAGUAAUUUGGCUGGAUGCAGCUCCUAAGGUAAAGCAGGGUACUUUCCCUGGAAUUUCCCUUUUAAAUAAACAUCUCAGUUUCUUU
Non-coding RNA from Callithrix jacchus (white-tufted-ear marmoset), 4092 nucleotides. The record is from RefSeq and is a predicted model, not a curated record. Lineage: Eukaryota; Metazoa; Chordata; Mammalia; Primates; Cebidae.